GGAAUUUUGGACAAUGGGCGCAAGCCUGAUCCAGCCAUGCCGCGUGAGUGAAGAAGGCCUUCGGGUUGUAAAGCUCUUUCGCGAGGGAAGCAAACGUACGGGCCAAUACCAUGUGCGGAUUACGGUACCUUGAUAAGACGCACCGGCUAACUACGUCACAGCAGCCGCGGUAAUACGUAGGGUGCGAGCGUUAAUCGGAAUUACUGGGCGUAAAGCGUGCGCAGGCGGUUUUGUAAGACAGAUGUGAAAGCCCCGGGCUUAACCUGGGGACUGCGUUUGUGACUGCAAGGCUAGAGUACGGCAGAGGGGGGUGGAAUUCCACGUGUAGCAGUGAAAUGCGUAGAUAUGUGGAGGAACACCGAUGGCGAAGGCAGCCCCCUGGGCCUGUACUGACGCUCAUGCACGAAAGCGUGGGGAGCAAAC
RNAcentral lists this ribosomal RNA (423 nucleotides) under uncultured bacterium. RNAcentral describes it as "bacterial SSU rRNA". It matches the Rfam family "Bacterial small subunit ribosomal RNA", at positions 358 to 773 of the family's 1533-position model. The record is from RNAcentral.